Wasmannia auropunctata (little fire ant) is the source of this 4827-nucleotide RNA transcript. It is a transcript of the gene named active breakpoint cluster region-related protein, with no coding region annotated. The record is from RefSeq and is a predicted model, not a curated record. The transcript is spliced from 14 exons. Lineage: Eukaryota; Metazoa; Arthropoda; Insecta; Hymenoptera; Formicidae.
AGGCAUGAGCGUGUUCGGGGACUUCCAGCGUGUCUGGGUGCAGCGGUUCCCGGACAGCGCCUUGCCGGCCGCCUGGGAGGAGGAUGUCAGGGCGAACCUGGUCAAGCACAAGCAGAAGGUGACAGCUUUGAGAGAAGAGCUCGAGAAGGAAGAGUUUUAUGUAGAGUAUUUGGAGAGAUUGCUGGCCGACGUCGAGCGACACAAGCAGCUGGCUAACAAUACCAGCGCGAAUACGAAUACGUCUGAGAAUAAACAGGAGGCGACGACGGAAACGCAAUUCCUACAGGAUUCUCAAGUAUCGGAGAACAGCUUGGCGGACUCCGCGAACUCGCCGAGUUCUCAGAACGUCGAACCGUCCGCUCCUACUUUGUCGGAACGGGAAGACAUCAGCAAGUUUCAAGACAAGUGCGUGUCCGAAUUGAGUUCGACUCUCGGCACAGCUGGCAAGCGACCCAGGAGCGAAAUACCAAGGAGUCCCGAGAAAGUGCCUGAAUUUAGAAGAAACAGUGAUCCAGAUGUGCCAAGUAAUUAUGUUACAGUGAUUGAAGUCACCGGGAGCUCGAAGAAAGACAAAAAUGAGGAAUCUCUCAAGGAGGAGGAUGAAAAAGAUUUAGAAAAGGCUAUCAACGAAGAUGGCGAAGACGGCGAUGCAGAGGCAUCGGAGGAGGAGCCUUACUACGAUUCAGUAGCCUUGGACCAAACUGGCGAAUACGUUUACAUUGACGCGCGCGUUCCCACUGCCAACAGUAACAAUGGCAGCAAGGCGGCAACGCGAAGACCACCCUCGCUGCCAGAUUCGCCGGGCAAUCAGAGUAAUUAUGUCAACAUCGAUUAUUUUAUACAACACAGAGCGGCGAUGGACAGCGAGGACGAGGAGGGCGCCAGUCCGGCGCCCCCGAUCUUGUUGCGUGCUCUCAGCACGGACAACGAAACCGGCAGCAGUGACGCCGAACCGUUGAGUUUGAGCGAGGGUAGCUUGGAAUCGCCGACCCCGACGACGCCGCGCAGACAGGAGAAAAGCAAGGAGCGCGAGGACGACAGGACGUCGAUGGUCAAGUGUAUCGUGAACUCGGUAGUGGAGAGCGAGGCUGUAUACGUGGAAUGCUUAACUGUGAUGUUACAAUAUAUGAAAGCUAUUAGGGCAACAUUAACGACAUCUCAACCGGUCAUCUCGGAAGAGGAGUUUGGCACGAUGUUCUACAAGAUCCCGGAACUGCAUGCUCUGCAUCAGACGUUUCUGGACGGUCUUCGAAAGAAGGCGGAAAAAUGGGACAGUAAGACUACUAUAGGAGAACAAUUUAAGAUUAUGGCCAGUAAUAUAGGAUUAUAUGGUGCUUUCUUGCACAAUUACGCUCGCGCGACCGACACUGUGCGACGAUGUUCCGCCCAUUCCACUCAAUUCGGAGAGAUCACUAGAGAUAUAAGACUCAGGGGUUUCCCGAAGGGCCCGGGUUUAUCUCUGGAAGACUUGUUACAUAAGCCGGUUGCUCGAGUGCAAAAGAACGCUUUAGUUUUACACGAUCUUCUCAAGCAUACGUCAGUCAACCAUGCAGAUCAUGCGCCUUUAUCAGAAGCUCUUGCUAUGACCAGGAACUUUCUAGACGAGUUCAAUAUCAUUCAGACAAAGUCCAUGUUUCCGAGUCACGACAGAGCCCAACGAAGAUUAGUAAAGAAUUCGUUUGUAGUGGAGCUCUCGGACGGUCACAGAAAGCUGAGACAUCUUUUUCUUUUUAACGACGUGAUCGCCUGUGCGAAGUACAAAGCGUCCGGCAGAGAUAAGUUCACGUUCGAAUUGAAGUGGUACGUGCCGGUGGCGGAAGUUGCUGUUACGGAAGACGGCAUAGAGCCACGUGAAGCCAGCCCCGCAAAUGUGGUAGCUUUAAGGUCGCAAGCGUGUACGGUGCGCGAUCAAAUUCUUUGGGAAGAACGAAACGACGAGAAACGAAUCCGACUGGGCGGCAGAGGUUCGGAGAAAAAUCGCAAGAAGCUCGCUGAACUUGAGGCUCAGCUGGUGUUAGCCUCGCCGAACUUGGUCCUGCGCGUCGCGCAUAAAAGUCAGCAGAAUCGAAUACAAAAUUCUUACACCUUCUUCCUGUCCAGCGAGUUUGAGCGCUCCCAAUGGGUAGAGGCGGUGGAGGCGUUACAACAGGGCGGACAGCCUCCAGGGCAGCUGCCAUUGUCGAUGUACGAAUUACAAGCUUGGGUUACCGCCUGUCGAACAUAUCUGCAGACCGAUAUGGGCAGCUAUCUGCUGAGAUCAGGACGCGACGAGAGCUUGCUAUUGGGUGAUCUUCAUCUGACGCUGCUCGGUUUGACUCCGCCAGGCUUAGACAGAGUGGGUGAUCUCUAUAUUAUCGUGGAAGUCGACAGCUACGGACACUAUUUCAAGAGAGCGCGAAGUCGCAUCGCCAGAGGUCAAGCACCGAUUUGGGGCGAGACUUUCGUGGUAGAGUUAGAGGGUAGCCAGAACGUUAGAAUUCUGUUGUACGAGGAAUGCGGCACACGCUCGGUAUUGCGAGGCAAGUGUAUUCAGCGGUUGAGCAGAUCUUGGCUUCAGUCUGAUCAGGUGGAGAGGUCGCUGAACCUGGGACCUUCGACGUUGGACGUGGCGCUGCGUUUUGUUCCCAGCGAGGUCACUCUGAGGCGAGUGCCGUCGGCCAAGCCGCAGGGCCUGUUCGGCGCCAAGAUCCAGCAAGUUUGCAAACGAGAAAAACGCGACGUGCCUUUCAUAAUAACGGCAUGCGUGCGAGAGGUGGAGAGACGUGGCGUCGGCGAGGUAGGUCUGUACCGCGUUUCCGGCUCGGCGUCCGAUGUGGCGAGGCUACGCAAGUCGUUCGAAAGCAAUUCGUACGAAGCGGAGCAGCUACUUAAGGAGGUGGACGUGCACUCGGUGACGGGCGUGUUAAAGCUGUAUCUGCGUGAGAUGCCGGAGGCGCUGUUCACCGACGCCCUUUAUCCGGCAUUCCUGGAGGCCUUCCAAACGGGCGAUUUGUCACGGGGCACCGCCCUGCGCCGUGUUUACGAGGGCUUGCCCGCCGUCAACAAGGCGGUGAUCGACUUUCUGCUGGCGCACCUGGCCCGUGUGAACAAGCACGAGGCUCAGAACAAGAUGUCACUGCACAACUUGGCGACGGUGUUCGGUCCCACGUUGCUGCGACCCGGCACCAGUAACUCGCGCAGCGACGCCAAGAGCCGCGAUCCCCUCGCCGCCGGCACCGUCGACGUAAUGGCGCAAGCUGGCAUUCUCUACUGCUUCCUGCAGUUACAUUUGCAACAACAAAACAAUCAAUCUCUCUAGUCGACAAAGUCCCCCUGAUCCUGAACCGCGAUUAACGUUGCAACGUUCGAUUUGAGAUCGAUAGAUAAUCGGCAAUGGGAACGCGACCACACACACUUUCUUCCUGACGAAGCAAACGCCGAAAAGACGACGUAAUGGUGUCUGAAGAACAGUCGGAAUUCUCAUCUCGGAAGCAACUUAUCGCCCUGAAUAAUAUGGAUACCGUACUCUCGCAGAAACAUUCAGGAGAAAGAAAGAGAGAAUAUAUUUGUUCUUCCUUGGAGAUCCUGUGAAAUUCAUGGAACGACGUUCCUCAUAAUGUGUGCAAAAAUCUGUUAUACAUGUGUAAUAAUCGUCCAUUCCAUUUGCUCGAGUUCUCUACGAAGAAUCGAAUUCAACAGAUCGAAUCUUCGCAAAGAAGCUCAGAGUUUUGGUCCAAAAAGACAUAUGACUGCAAGAGAGAGGCCCUCCUUAUUCCGUCAAAGUGGUAUUUUUCGACAGUAAUUUUGAUUGAACGUGAGUUUUCUUUUUAUUAUCGUCUAACUGCAGCUUAAUGAGACGCCAAAGAGAAAGGUACGUUCCCACGUGUGUAGAGUGUUACGGAAAUGGUGGUUUAUAAGAAAAAAUGCAAUUUUUUACGAAAAAAAAAUACAAAAUAAAUUUUUUUCUUGUACGAGAGACUAUAGUUUUCUCGAGAAAACCUAUAUUUAAAUCAAAUUUUCAGUCAACUUUUUUCUUUUUUCGAGUUUUAAAAUUAAUUUUCUUGAGAAAAAAGUUUGCGAGAAAGGGAUUUAUACAUCGUGAAGCCCUUUUUUUUUAACAAAAUACUGCCAAUUUAUUAGAUCAAUCCAUCAAGACUUUCGGAACGCUCUAUGCGCAGUAGGAAAGAAUAUACUGUAGUUGAUAAUGAGAGACAAAACACAAACACGCGAGUUUGGCGAUACAAGUUAACGGGGCACAGAGUGUCUUGCGUAUUAUAUGCCAAGCCGUCUAGUUUGCAAAUUAUAUAAAAAAAGAAAACGAACAAAAAAAAAGAAAGAAAACGAGCCAAGUCUGACGAGAGUGUUCGAUAAAAACGAAGAUAUAUAAGAAGUAUUAAAUUGUUUAUGCUCGAACAAAGUAGGCAACUAUUAUAUCUCGUGCGUAUGAAGGCAACCGCGUGCGUGUUUGUGCUUGUUUGUAUGCGUGUAUAAUCCCCCUUCCGCCCUUCUGCCCCGUGUAUGUAUUAUACCGUAAAAAGAAAUACCGCAUAUACUAAGAUUUUUGAUAUCGUCGUUUUUUAAGGAACGUCCGCCUUUUUUUUUUGUACAUUGAUACGAAAUGUAAAAACGAGUUUCCUCGAUUAUUAUUUGUGUUAUUAUUAAUAUUAUUAAUAUUAUUAUUACUCCAUAUUAUAUAUAGAUAUAUAUAUAUAUGUAUAUGACAAUUAUCGCAACUAUUUGUUGAUUUGAUCAAGCUAGCUUGUUCGCAGCGAAAUGCGUACUGUACUGCCAAAAAGUGAAGAAACACACUUAAAGUGGACAAAUAUACUGAAGGUUUAUAAACUUUUA